Molecule: ribosomal RNA, 252 nt
Filed under: uncultured bacterium
Lineage: Bacteria
Description: partial 16S ribosomal RNA
Rfam family: Bacterial small subunit ribosomal RNA
Source: RNAcentral
GACAGAGGGUGCAAACGUUGUUCGGAAUUACUGGGCAUAAAGCGCGCGCAGGCGGCUAUUUAAGUCUGGUGUUUAAACCUUGGGCUCAACCUGAGGUCGCACUGGAAACUGGGUGGCUUGAGUACAGAAGAGGAAAGUGGAAUUCCACGUGUAGCGGUGAAAUGCGUAGAUAUGUGGAGGAACACCAGUGGCGAAGGCGACUUUCUGGGCUGUAACUGACGCUGAGGCGCGAAAGCGUGGGGAGCAAACAGG